This 313-nucleotide unclassified non-coding RNA is filed under the name plant metagenome. Its description in RNAcentral is "partial contains 5.8S ribosomal RNA, internal transcribed spacer 2, and large subunit ribosomal RNA". The stretch from base 1 to 105 matches the Rfam family "5.8S ribosomal RNA", at positions 50 to 154 of the family's 154-position model. The record is from RNAcentral.
GAAAUGCGAUACGUAGUGUGAAUUGCAGAAUUCAGUGAAUCAUCGAAUCUUUGAACGCACAUUGCGCCCUUUGGUAUUCCAAAGGGCAUGCCUGUUCGAGCGUCAUUUGUACCCUCAAGCUUUGCUUGGUGUUGGGCGUUUUUUGUCUUUGGCUCGCCCAAAGACUCGCCUUAAAACGAUUGGCAGCCGGCCUACUGGUUUCGCAGCGCAGCACAUUUUUGCGCUUGCAAUCAGCAAAAGAGGACGGCAAUCCAUCAAGACUCCUUCUCACGUUUGACCUCGGAUCAGGUAGGGAUACCCGCUGAACUUAAGC